RNAcentral lists this ribosomal RNA (466 nucleotides) under uncultured bacterium. RNAcentral's name for it is "partial 16S ribosomal RNA". It matches the Rfam family "Bacterial small subunit ribosomal RNA", at positions 28 to 507 of the family's 1533-position model. The record is from RNAcentral.
GAUGAACGCUGGCGGCGUGCUUAACACAUGCAAGUCGAACGGAAAGGCCCAAGCUUGCUUGGGUACUCGAGUGGCGAACGGGUGAGUAACACGUGGGUGAUCUGCCCUGCACUUCGGGAUAAGCCUGGGAAACUGGGUCUAAUACCGGAUAGGACCACAUUUUGGAUGGUGUGGUGGAAAGUUUUUCGGUGUGGGAUGAGCUCGCGGCCUAUCAGCUUGUUGGUGGGGUAAUGGCCUACCAAGGCGUCGACGGGUAGCCGGCCUGAGAGGGUGUACGGCCACAUUGGGACUGAGAUACGGCCCAGACUCCUACGGGGGGCAGAAGUGGGGAAUAUUGCACAAUGGGCGCAAGCCUGAUGCAGAGACGCCGCGUGGGGGAGGACGGCCUUCGGGUUGUAAACUCCUUUCGCUAGGGACGAAGCGUUAUGUGACGGUACCUGGAGAAGAAGCACCGGCUAACUACGUG